GAUGAAGAACGCAGCGAAAUGCGAUAAGUAAUGUGAAUUGCAGAAUUCAGUGAAUCAUCGAAUCUUUGAACGCACAUUGCGCCCAUUAGCAUUCUAGUGGGCAUGCCUGUUCGAGCGUCAUUUCAACCCUUAAGCCCUGUUGCUUAGCGUUGGGAGCCUACAGUACUGUAGCUCCCCAAAGUUAGUGGCGGAGUCGGUUUCACACUCUAGACGUAGUAAUUUUUUCUCGUCUGUAGUUGAGCCGGUCCCAUGCCGUAAAACACCCAAUUUAUCAAGGUUGACCUCGGAUCAGGUAGGAAUACCCGCUGAACUUAAGCAUAUCAAUAAGCGGAGGA
RNAcentral lists this unclassified non-coding RNA (335 nucleotides) under soil metagenome. RNAcentral describes it as "partial contains 5.8S ribosomal RNA, internal transcribed spacer 2, and large subunit ribosomal RNA". The stretch from base 1 to 120 matches the Rfam family "5.8S ribosomal RNA", at positions 35 to 154 of the family's 154-position model. The record is from RNAcentral.